UGAACGCUAGCGACAGGCUUAACACAUAGCAAGUCGAGGGGUAACAGGGUAGCAAUACCGCUGACGACCGGCGCACGGGUGAGUAACGCGUAUGCAACCUGCCUAUAACUGGGGAAUAGCUCCCUGAAAGGGGAAUUAACACCGCAUAACACUAUUGAUUCGCAUGGAUUGGUAGUUAAAUGUAGCGAUACAGGUUAUAGAUGGGCAUGCGUGACAUUAGCUAGUUGGUGAGGUAACGGCUCACCAAGGCUACGAUGUCUAGGGGUUCUGAGAGGAAGGUCCCCCACACUGGUACUGAGACACGGACCAGACUCCUACGGGAGGCAGCAGUGAGGAAUAUUGGUCAAUGGGCGCAAGCCUGAACCAGCCAUGUCGCGUGCAGGAAGACUGCCCCUAUGGGUUGUAAACUGCUUUUAUAGUAGAAGAAACACAUCUACGCGUAGAUGUCUGCCAGUAUACUAUGAAUAAGCAUCGGCUAACUCCGUGCCAGCCGCCGC
RNAcentral lists this ribosomal RNA (497 nucleotides) under uncultured bacterium. Its description in RNAcentral is "bacterial SSU rRNA". It matches the Rfam family "Bacterial small subunit ribosomal RNA", at positions 30 to 518 of the family's 1533-position model. The record is from RNAcentral.